AACGAACGCUGGCGGCAUGCCUAACACAUGCAAGUCGAACGAGACCUUCGGGUCUAGUGGCGCACGGGUGCGUAACGCGUGGGAAUCUGCCCUUGGGUUCGGAAUAACAGUUAGAAAUGACUGCUAAUACCGGAUGAUGUCUUCGGACCAAAGAUUUAUCGCCCAGGGAUGAGCCCGCGUAGGAUUAGCUAGUUGGUGGGGUAAAGGCCUACCAAGGCGACGAUCCUUAGCUGGUCUGAGAGGAUGAUCAGCCACACUGGGACUGAGACACGGCCCAGACUCCUACGGGAGGCAGCAGUGGGGAAUAUUGGACAAUGGGCGAAAGCCUGAUCCAGCAAUGCCGCGUGAGUGAUGAAGGCCUUAGGGUUGUAAAGCUCUUUUACCCGGGAUGAUAAUGACAGUACCGGGAGAAUAAGCCCCCGGCUAACUCCGUGCCAGCAG
Molecule: ribosomal RNA, 441 nt
Filed under: uncultured bacterium
Lineage: Bacteria
Description: bacterial SSU rRNA
Rfam family: Bacterial small subunit ribosomal RNA
Source: RNAcentral